AUCAACCGCAUCAUUGCGAAAAACGCGUCUUUAUACAAACACCACACGCAAAACGUCAAGUGCGGUAAAAUGAUGGCCCGCUUUAUGAUUUCGUUGGCGCUGCUUUGUCUAAUAGUUCACGUGACGCAAGGCAUUAUACCCAUUAGACCACCGCCACGUUUUUGUGCGCUUGGACCGAUCAAGGAUGGGCAGACCAACUCGUGUGAUGCGAAAAUCCCAAGCUUCACAUUCAACAGCAGGACCCGCAGAUGUGAAAAUUUCAUUUACGGAGGAUGCAACGGUUCGGAAAAUCUAUUUAAAACACGGCUCGAUUGCAAAUUUACCUGCGAACAAUAUGCGAAAGGACGUUAAAAAACUGCAAGGAAACACCUGUCUGACCUGGACUAUGGAGGCCGGCGGAAUCUUAAGAUUCAAAAUCAAUCACAAUCAAGAUGUAAAUUACCAUUAAAAAAAUCAAUAAAUCAGAUGGGAAUGUUAAA
Molecule: long non-coding RNA, 479 nt
Organism: Neocloeon triangulifer
Lineage: Eukaryota; Metazoa; Arthropoda; Insecta; Ephemeroptera; Baetidae
Exons: 3
Source: RefSeq, a predicted model, not a curated record